RNAcentral lists this ribosomal RNA (460 nucleotides) under uncultured bacterium. RNAcentral describes it as "partial 16S ribosomal RNA". It matches the Rfam family "Bacterial small subunit ribosomal RNA", at positions 338 to 795 of the family's 1533-position model. The record is from RNAcentral.
CCUACGGGCGGCAGCAGUGGGGAAUAUUGCUCAAUGGACGGAAGUCUGAACCAGCCAUGCCGCGUGCAUGAAGACGGCUCUCUGAGUUGUAAACUGCUUUUGUACAAGGGUAAACCUGAAGACGUGUAUUCAGCUGAAAGUACUGUACGAAUAAGGGUCGGCUAACUCCAUGCCAGCAGCCGCGGUAAUACGGAGGAUCCAAGCGUUGUCCGGAUUUAUUUGGUUUAAAGGGUGCGUAGGCGGAUUGAUAAGUUAGAGGUGAAAUGUCCGAGCUUAACUCGGGAACUGCCUCUAAUACUGGUGAUCUAGAGAGUAGAUGCGGUAGGCGGAAUGUAUGGUGUAGCGGUGAAAUGCUUAGAGAUCAUACAGAACACCGAUUGCGAAGGCAGCUUACUAAUCUAUAUCUGACGUUGAGGCACGAAAGCGUGGGGAGCAAACAGGAUUAGAUACCCCAGUAGUC